Hibiscus syriacus is the source of this 196-nucleotide long non-coding RNA. RefSeq lists it as uncharacterized. The record is from RefSeq and is a predicted model, not a curated record. NCBI's taxonomy places the organism in Eukaryota, Viridiplantae, Streptophyta, Magnoliopsida, Malvales, Malvaceae. The transcript is spliced from 3 exons.
GUGUUGUUUUUCCUUAUAACGGUAAAAGAUUCUGAUACCACACAUAUUGGAGAGUCUUCUAUCAUGAUCCAAGGUGCUAAUGUUUCUCCUAGAAAUGAAGGAACUAAGGAUAAUGAUUCAUCAGUUAUGAUUAUAUCCGAACAGUGCCAUCCAGAACAACUUGCAGAAACAGAGAAGGUUUAUGAUGAAGAAAUUU